RNAcentral lists this ribosomal RNA (253 nucleotides) under uncultured bacterium. RNAcentral's name for it is "partial 16S ribosomal RNA". It matches the Rfam family "Bacterial small subunit ribosomal RNA", at positions 524 to 776 of the family's 1533-position model. The record is from RNAcentral.
UACAGAGGAUGCAAGCGUUAUCCGGAAUGAUUGGGCGUAAAGCGUCUGUAGGUGGCUUUUUAAGUCCGCCGUCAAAUCCCAGGGCUCAACUCUGGACAGGCGGUGGAAACUACCAAGCUGGAGUACGGUAGGGGCAGAGGGAAUUUCCGGGGGAGCGGUGAAAUGCGCAGAUAUCAGGAGGAACACCGAUGGCGAAGGCAGGUCUCUGGGCCAGAACUGACGCUGAGAAGCGAAAGCAUGGGGAGCGAACAGG